This 1510-nucleotide ribosomal RNA is filed under the name Salmonella enterica. RNAcentral describes it as "bacterial SSU rRNA". It matches the Rfam family "Bacterial small subunit ribosomal RNA". The record is from RNAcentral. Lineage: Bacteria; Pseudomonadati; Pseudomonadota; Gammaproteobacteria; Enterobacterales; Enterobacteriaceae.
GCUCAGAUUGAACGCUGGCGGCAGGCCUAACACAUGCAAGUCGAACGGUAACAGGAAGCAGCUUGCUGCUUUGCUGACGAGUGGCGGACGGGUGAGUAAUGUCUGGGAAACUGCCUGAUGGAGGGGGAUAACUACUGGAAACGGUGGCUAAUACCGCAUAACGUCGCAAGACCAAAGAGGGGGACCUUCGGGCCUCUUGCCAUCAGAUGUGCCCAGAUGGGAUUAGCUUGUUGGUGAGGUAACGGCUCACCAAGGCGACGAUCCCUAGCUGGUCUGAGAGGAUGACCAGCCACACUGGAACUGAGACACGGUCCAGACUCCUACGGGAGGCAGCAGUGGGGAAUAUUGCACAAUGGGCGCAAGCCUGAUGCAGCCAUGCCGCGUGUAUGAAGAAGGCCUUCGGGUUGUAAAGUACUUUCAGCGGGGAGGAAGGUGUUGUGGUUAAUAACCGCAGCAAUUGACGUUACCCGCAGAAGAAGCACCGGCUAACUCCGUGCCAGCAGCCGCGGUAAUACGGAGGGUGCAAGCGUUAAUCGGAAUUACUGGGCGUAAAGCGCACGCAGGCGGUCUGUCAAGUCGGAUGUGAAAUCCCCGGGCUCAACCUGGGAACUGCAUUCGAAACUGGCAGGCUUGAGUCUUGUAGAGGGGGGUAGAAUUCCAGGUGUAGCGGUGAAAUGCGUAGAGAUCUGGAGGAAUACCGGUGGCGAAGGCGGCCCCCUGGACAAAGACUGACGCUCAGGUGCGAAAGCGUGGGGAGCAAACAGGAUUAGAUACCCUGGUAGUCCACGCCGUAAACGAUGUCUACUUGGAGGUUGUGCCCUUGAGGCGUGGCUUCCGGAGCUAACGCGUUAAGUAGACCGCCUGGGGAGUACGGCCGCAAGGUUAAAACUCAAAUGAAUUGACGGGGGCCCGCACAAGCGGUGGAGCAUGUGGUUUAAUUCGAUGCAACGCGAAGAACCUUACCUGGUCUUGACAUCCACAGAACUUUCCAGAGAUGGAUUGGUGCCUUCGGGAACUGUGAGACAGGUGCUGCAUGGCUGUCGUCAGCUCGUGUUGUGAAAUGUUGGGUUAAGUCCCGCAACGAGCGCAACCCUUAUCCUUUGUUGCCAGCGGUCCGGCCGGGAACUCAAAGGAGACUGCCAGUGAUAAACUGGAGGAAGGUGGGGAUGACGUCAAGUCAUCAUGGCCCUUACGACCAGGGCUACACACGUGCUACAAUGGCGCAUACAAAGAGAAGCGACCUCGCGAGAGCAAGCGGACCUCAUAAAGUGCGUCGUAGUCCGGAUUGGAGUCUGCAACUCGACUCCAUGAAGUCGGAAUCGCUAGUAAUCGUGGAUCAGAAUGCCACGGUGAAUACGUUCCCGGGCCUUGUACACACCGCCCGUCACACCAUGGGAGUGGGUUGCAAAAGAAGUAGGUAGCUUAACCUUCGGGAGGGCGCUUACCACUUUGUGAUUCAUGACUGGGGUGAAGUCGUAACAAGGUAACCGUAGGGGAACCUGCGGUUGGA